Molecule: long non-coding RNA, 302 nt
Filed under: Prunus dulcis (almond)
Lineage: Eukaryota; Viridiplantae; Streptophyta; Magnoliopsida; Rosales; Rosaceae
Description: sRNA ncRNA
Source: RNAcentral
AUUCGACCCAAAACGAAGACAUGUCAGUUUCUGAGGAAAAUGCCAAUAUCAGAGACCACCAUCGCCGGUUGCUGGCGGUGAAAUACGAGCUGAGACGAAAUCUAUACAAGGCCCUCUGCAAGGACCCAAGCCUUCCCAGCGACCUGCGCGAGGAGAACCGCUUCAAGCUCUCCAAGCUGCCCCGAAACAGCUCCUUCACGAGCGUCAGGAACCGCUGAAUCUUCUCAGGCCGCGCACGCGCCGUCUACGAGACCUUCCGUAUGUCCCGUAUCGUCUUUCGUACUCUGGCCUCUAAGGCCAUG